Bos taurus (domestic cattle) is the source of this 72-nucleotide non-coding RNA. The record is from Rfam. Lineage: Eukaryota; Metazoa; Chordata; Mammalia; Artiodactyla; Bovidae.
UCCCUGGUGGCUCAGAUGGUAAAGCGUCUGCCUGCAAUGCGGGAGACCCGGGUUCGAUUCCUGGGUCGGGAA